This is a long non-coding RNA of Ictalurus punctatus (channel catfish), 992 nucleotides long. NCBI's taxonomy places the organism in Eukaryota, Metazoa, Chordata, Actinopteri, Siluriformes, Ictaluridae. The record is from Ensembl.
GACCUUAAUAAAGAUAAAAAGCUAAACAAUAAUACUGGCAGUUCAGAGAUAAAAGCUAACUGACCUUUGCUGUCCGUUAUUGCAGGAAAGAUUUGCUCAGAAAUCAGAGCAGCUCUGAUCCUCUGCCAGCCUUCACAAGUCCAUAUCACUGCACACUCACUCCAUCUCCGUCAGCAUUCGCGUUCAAGCAGUGUCACAUCGGUUUCGCCAGGCUAGUGCGGGUUAAUGAGAAACUGUGUGUGUAUGCAGGCACAUAUUCACAUGUUGGCUUUACAGGCCACAGCAACAAUCUUCAAACAUUGCUGAUUUGUAUCGAUAUGGACAAAAUGCAAACAAAACCUUUUGACUUCUCCAGUAGCAAGAAUGAGACAAAUUCAGUUCAAUUUUCUUUGUCUAGCACUUUUAAUAAUGUCACAAAGUAACUUUAUUGAAAUAUGGAUGGAGAUUUAGAACCCUAACAAGGAAUCCAGAUACGACAGUGACUACGUUUGAAUGCAUAUCAAUAUUUCGAUAUUAAUCUAAAUUUAGCAAUACUCUAAGUAGUAUUGAGUCAUGUAAACGCCACAGUCCGAUUGCCUGAUUGAGAUUAAGACAAUAUUCUGCAACACGAAUAUAGAGCUUACAUGGAAUUUGGGUAGGGUUAGGGUUAGGGUUUGGGUUAGGGGUUAGGGUUAGGGUUUGGGUUCGGGGUUUGGGUUCGGGGUUAGGGUUAGGGGUUAGGGUUUGGGUUAGGGGUUAGGGUUAGGAUUAGGGUUAUGGGCUAGUGUUAGGGUUAGGGUAGAGUUUAGGGGUUAGGGUUAUGGGUUAGGGUUAGGGUUAGGGGUGAAGGUUUGUGGUUAGGGUUAGGGUUAGAAUUAUCUCCCUGAGACGACACGAGGAAGAAAAGACGAAUCAAACAUAAAAGCGAACACAUCCUUUUCUGGGUCACAGCGGAUAGUGCUAUUAUAAAUCAUUACUCAUCUCCAGCUGCAUACUCUAAAGUUAAACAGUAU